AGGUUCCUUCGGGAACUGGAGAGUGGCGCACGGGUGAGUAACGCGUGGGGACCUACCUCUUAGUGGGGGAUAACGGUUGGAAACGACCGCUAAUACCGCAUACGCCCUUCGGGGGGAAGAUUUAUCGCUAAGAGAUGGACCCGCGUUGGAUUAGAUAGUUGGUGAGGUAACGGCUCACCAAGUCGGCGAUCCAUAGCUGGUUUGAGAGGAUGAUCAGCCACACUGGGACUGAGACACGGCCCAGACUCCUACGGGAGGCAGCAGUGGGGAAUAUUGGACAAUGGGGGCAACCCUGAUCCACCCAUGCCGCGUGAGUGAAGAAGGCCUUCGGGUUGUAAAGCUCUUUCAGAUGCGAAGAUGAUGACGGUAACAUCAGAAGAAGCCCCGGCUAAUUUCGUGCCAGCAGCCGCGGUAAUACAAAAGGGGCUAGCGUUGUUCGGAUUUACUGGGCGUAAAGGGCACGCAGGCGGUCUUGCCAGUCAGGGGUGAAAGCCCGGGGCUCAACCCCGGAACUGCCUCUGAUUCUGCAAGACUAGAGACUAAGGAGAAGGGUGGUGGAAUUCCCCGUGUAGAGGUGAAAUUCCUAAAUUUUGGGAGGAACACCAGAGGCGAAGGGGGCCACCUGGACUAGAUCUGACCCUCAAGGUGCGAAAGCGGGGGGAGAAAACAGGAUUAGAUACCCUGGUACUCCACCCCCUAAAACAAUGAGGGCUAAUUACUCGGGAUUUCUAUUU
RNAcentral lists this ribosomal RNA (734 nucleotides) under uncultured Alphaproteobacteria bacterium. RNAcentral describes it as "bacterial SSU rRNA". It matches the Rfam family "Bacterial small subunit ribosomal RNA", at positions 72 to 838 of the family's 1533-position model. The record is from RNAcentral. Lineage: Bacteria; Pseudomonadati; Pseudomonadota; Alphaproteobacteria.